RNAcentral lists this ribosomal RNA (159 nucleotides) under Fusarium sp. BXT10-1. RNAcentral describes it as "5.8S ribosomal RNA". The stretch from base 1 to 74 matches the Rfam family "5.8S ribosomal RNA", at positions 81 to 154 of the family's 154-position model. The record is from RNAcentral. RNAcentral also lists the same sequence under 1 other name. Lineage: Eukaryota; Fungi; Ascomycota; Sordariomycetes; Hypocreales; Nectriaceae.
UCAGUGAAUCAUCGAAUCUUUGAACGCACAUUGCGCCCGCCAGUAUUCUGGCGGGCAUGCCUGUUCGAGCGUCAUUUCAACCCUCAAGCUCAGCUUGGUGUUGGGACUCGCGGUAACCCGCGUUCCCCAAAUCGAUUGGCGGUCACGUCGAGCUUCCAU